AGUAGUUUGAUCUGGCUCAGACGAAGCUGCGGCGUGCCUAACACCAUAGCAAAGUCGAACGAAAGGACUUGAAUUCUAGAUUUCUUUCGGAAUGAGAAUGAUAUGACUGAGUGGCGACGGGUGAGUAACGCGUGAGCAACCUGCCCUUCGAGGGGGAGUAGUGUCUGGAAAGGACAGUAAUACCGCAUAACGAUUUUUACCGCAUGAUAGAAAUACCAAAACUGAGGUGCCGAAGGAUGGGCUCGCGUUGGAUUAGAUAGUUGUGGGGUAACGGCCUACCAAGUCAACGAUCCAUAGCCGGACUGAGAGGUUGAACGGCCACAUUGGGACUGAGACACGGCCCAGACUCCUACGGGAGGCAGCAGUGGGGAAUAUUGCACAAUGGGGGAAACCCUGGUGCAGCAACGCCGCGUGAAGGAAGACGGUUUUCGGAUUGUAAACUUCUGUUCUUAGUGAAGAAAAAUGACGGUAGCUAAGGAGCAAGCCACGGCUAACUACGUG
RNAcentral lists this ribosomal RNA (501 nucleotides) under uncultured Eubacteriales bacterium. RNAcentral's name for it is "bacterial SSU rRNA". It matches the Rfam family "Bacterial small subunit ribosomal RNA", at positions 1 to 507 of the family's 1533-position model. The record is from RNAcentral. Lineage: Bacteria; Bacillati; Bacillota; Clostridia; Eubacteriales.